GACGAACGCUGGCGGCGUGCUUAACACAUGCAAGUCGAACGGAAAGGCCCUGCUUUUGUGGGGUGCUCGAGUGGCGAACGGGUGAGUAACACGUGAGUAACCUGCCCGUGACUUUGGGAUAACUUCAGGAAACUGGGGCUAAUACCGGAUAGGAGCUCCUGCUGCAUGGUGGGGGUUGGAAAGUUUCGGCGGUUGGGGAUGGACUCGCGGCUUAUCAGCUUGUUGGUGGGGUAGUGGCUUACCAAGGCUUUGACGGGUAGCCGGCCUGAGAGGGUGACCGGCCACAUUGGGACUGAGAUACGGCCCAGACUCCUACGGGAGGCAGCAGUGGGGAAUAUUGCACAAUGGGCGGAAGCCUGAUGCAGCAACGCUGCGUGCGGGAUGACGGCCUUCGGGUUGUAAACCGCUUUCGCCUGUGACGAAGCGUGAGUGACGGUAAUGGGUAAAGAAGCACCGGCUAACUACGUG
RNAcentral lists this ribosomal RNA (468 nucleotides) under uncultured bacterium. RNAcentral describes it as "partial 16S ribosomal RNA". It matches the Rfam family "Bacterial small subunit ribosomal RNA", at positions 28 to 507 of the family's 1533-position model. The record is from RNAcentral.